Molecule: unclassified non-coding RNA, 2328 nt
Filed under: Leishmania donovani
Lineage: Eukaryota; Euglenozoa; Kinetoplastea; Trypanosomatida; Trypanosomatidae
Description: gene:LdHU3.25.1260(CDS-product:tubulin_gamma_chai n)
Source: RNAcentral
GCGGCAUCCAGGCGCGACCCCCACCCCCCACCACCCCACCCCCCACACACACACACACCCACCCACACACACCCCCCCCUCCACACACAAACACCACCCCGCAUCUCUGCUCAACGGCGGCUUCGCUGCCAAGCACACCGACACGUGCAAGGCCUGGGCAAUAAGAGAAGAUUACGCACAAAGAGCCAAGCCCAAUCGAGUGGAGCGAGAGGGCCGCGGCUGCAGCGCAGGAGAUCAAGGUACACAGCACACAGCGGCGCAUUCAAAAAGGGGAGGAAGGGGUAGCACAAGCAGACGUCAAGGUUACUCUUCCGUUCGCGCGUGUCUCUGUGCGCAUGAAGAGAGCGGCAGACAAGUUAGGGUACCUGCGACGUAGACACGGCACAGGCAGCCAACGGCAGAGGAUCGUCACAAGGGCAGCGGGCACUCCUUGUGAGAACCCAAGUGGCGCUUCCACUUGCACGAUAGCAGAAGUUCUCCUCCCCAUAUAGACAUACACACCGACGUGUCUGGUCGCCAUAUGCCUCGCGAGAUCAUCACCAUUCAAGCCGGCCAGUGCGGCAACCAGGUAGGCAGCGAGUUCUGGCGGCAGCUCUGCCUCGAGCACGGCAUCCGACUCGACGGCGUCGUGGAGCCGUACGCCGUCGGCGGUGAGGAUCGCAAAGAUGUUUUUUUCUAUCAAGCCGACGACGACCACUACGUGCCGCGUGCGUUGCUCGUGGACCUUGAGCCGCGCGUGAUCAACGCGGUGCAGCGCGGCUCGAUGCAGAAGCUCUUCAACAGCGAGAACAUCUUCAUUCACAAGGAAGGCGGUGGCGCCGGCAACAACUGGUCUCACGGCUACGAGCUGGGCGACCAGGUGCAGGAGACGCUCUUCGACAUGAUCGAGCGAGAGGCCGAGAACAGCGACAGCCUCGAGGGAUUCGUUCUUACUCACUCCAUUGCAGGCGGUACGGGAAGCGGCAUGGGCAGCUACCUGCUGGAGAACUUGAACGAUAAGUUCCCAAAGAAGCUCAUCCAGACGUACAGCGUCUUCCCGAACCAGUCGCGUGGCGGCGAGAGCGACGUCAUUGUCCAGCCGUACAACAGCCUACUAGCCGUGAAGCGGCUCACGCUGCACGCCGACUGCGUUGUCGUCCUCGACAACACCGCACUGAACCGUAUCGUCACCGACAACCUCCACAUCGCCUCCCCCACGGUGGAACAGAUGAACGGGCUCGUCAGCACCGUCAUGGCCGCCUCGACGGCGACGCUGCGCUACCCGGGCUACAUGAACAACGACUUGAUGAGCAUGCUCGCCUCGCUCAUCCCGACGCCGCGGUGCCACUUUGUGUGCACCGGAUACACCCCGACCACCCUCGACACCUCGAACAUUCAGUCCUCGGUGCGCAAGACGUCCGUGCACGACGUGAUGCGUCGACUGCUGAUGCCGAAGAACAUGAUGGUGUCGACAUCCAUGAAGAGCGGCUGCUACAUCUCUCUCCUAAACCUCAUCCAGGGUGACGUCGACCCGGCACAGGUGCACCGCUCCCUCGAGCGGAUUCGCGAGCGGUCACCGACGUUCAUUCCGUGGGGGCCGGCCUCAAUCCAGGUCAUCCUGUCAAAGAAGUCGCCGUACGUGGACACGCGGCACCGGGUGAGCGGCCUCGUAAUGGCGAACCACACGAGCAUCCACACCCUCUUUCACCGCACACUGAAGCAGUUUGACAUGCUGUUCGGCCGCGGCGUCUUCCUCGAUCAGUACCGAAAGUAUGGGCCGACCAAGGACAACCUGGACGAGUUCAGCGACGCGAGGGACGUCGUGGAGAGUUUGGUGGCGGAGUACAAGGCGUGUGAGAGCUCCGACUACAUCCGCAACUUCUGAGUAGUGCAACAGCUGCGGCCCGGCGUUUUACCGUGUUCUCCUGUCGCCCAUCUCUCUCCAUCUCCCUCUCUCCGAAAGUCUGCGCCGUGGAUAGGACCGCACAGCGUCUCAUCGACUGGCCUCUCCCUUCCCUCACCACCUCCCAUGCGCAUAGACGCGGCCACGCACCUCCUCUCUCGCGCACGCGCGCAAGUCCUGCUGCGCUGUCAACACGCAUGCGUGUAUACCGUGGGUGAACGCGCGUGUGGCUGUCGGUCUUUUGAAAGGCUAUAGACAAAAUACGGCGAUGAUGACGGAUGUGCUUGUUGCACCCUCUCUCCAUGCCUCCGCCCUAUGUGUGUGUGUGUGUCUGUGUCUGUGCCUGUGUCUGUGUCUGUGUUGGACAAGAUUCAGGCAUGUCGGGGCAGUGUGCAGUGUUGUGCUCGUAUACGUGUGUGUGUGUCUCUAUAGCCAUAUGUGUGCAG